UACGGAGGGUGCAAGCGUUAAUCGGAAUUACUGGGCGUAAAGCGCAUGCAGGCGGUUUGGUAAGUCAGAAGUGAAAUCCCCGGGCUCAACCAUGGAACUGCAUCUGAUACUGGAAAGCUUGAGUCUCGGAGAGGGGGGUAGAAUUCCAGGUGGAGCGGUGAAAUGCGUAGAGAUCUGGAGGAAUACCGGUGGCGAAGGCGGCCCCCUGGACGAAGACUGACGCUCAGGUGCGAAAGCGUGGGGAGCAAACAGG
This 253-nucleotide ribosomal RNA is filed under the name uncultured bacterium. RNAcentral's name for it is "partial 16S ribosomal RNA". It matches the Rfam family "Bacterial small subunit ribosomal RNA", at positions 524 to 776 of the family's 1533-position model. The record is from RNAcentral.